GUACAAGUUGUCCUCAAAUAAAGCAUCCUUCCACUGCUUUUCCUGUAAGACUUUUAACGCAUCAUCUAUCAUGCUGUUUUUCACAUAAACCAUCACCAGACUUGAACAAGAUAUCUGGUUUCUCAAAACAUGAUCAUAUAAAGAACCUCUCAAGAUUGAAGGAACUUCAUGAAUGAGUUCAAGCUUCUCAUAUGCUUGCAAAAGAAUGCCAAG
RNAcentral lists this unclassified non-coding RNA (213 nucleotides) under Hevea brasiliensis (rubber tree). The record is from RNAcentral. Lineage: Eukaryota; Viridiplantae; Streptophyta; Magnoliopsida; Malpighiales; Euphorbiaceae.